This 1737-nucleotide long non-coding RNA is filed under the name Solanum tuberosum (potato). Its description in RNAcentral is "long non-coding RNA (STUB_LNC008405)". The record is from RNAcentral. Lineage: Eukaryota; Viridiplantae; Streptophyta; Magnoliopsida; Solanales; Solanaceae.
AUGGUCUUCCCCAGCUCUUUUUCUAUGGUUUUGCAUACCUGGGGAAAAACAAUUCAUUCAAUUAGUAACAUUUAUCAAAUUAAUUUUAGAUAUUCCUUUUAUAUAUCUGUUGAAUAUUAAAUAUUCUUUCUAUCAGUCUGGUGAAUGUUUAGAUAUUCAAACUGCAUAAAAAUGAGUUGAACUUCUGCAGAUGUCUUGUAUGAUUUUAUUAGCAAAAAUAUAGAGAUAUACAAUACUCUAAGAGCAAAGAAAUAUAGAUAAUUUCCUGCUAAAGCAAAUUUGGCAUCCCAAGAUUAUGUCAUAGAAAUGACAAUCUGAAUGAUAUAGGAGAUAAGUAGAGAAACAAAUAUUUAAAGGAUUUAAAAGGGGCCACUAAAAUGUAAAGCUCUAAUGCUUACUGCACACUAAGAGUUCCCUUAGGAUCAAGCUAGAUCUAUCUCUACUGAGCUACUUUUAACAUGGUUCUGUUUAGCAAGGACAGUUCAAGAGCAAUAAUUGUCCCUAAUAAGGAGAUGAUAAACUGGUGCUUUUCACUCCACUAUGGCAUACAGGUUUUUCCAUAAUUUCUGCUUUCACAGAGAAAAGGAAUGCCAUCUUCUUGUAAUUGACGAAUUGUCAUCUCCCAUAAUCAUUUUCGGUUGCUCUUAAAACUUUCACUUCCAAUCAAUCGUGGACGCUGGAUGACAAGCGUGUAAGUGAUUACAAAGUUGAGAUAUAAAACCACAUGGAGCAGAAGAUUGAUUUUCUCAGUAGGCUUCAGCUAGGGGAGAGGGGUUCUGAAGAAGAGGCUAUAUAGGAAAACAAAGGAUAAUUACAUCAAAUGACCAUUCGGUCAAUUUGAUUACCAAAAAAAUGGCCAAUUUCUUCUCCACCUUCAUUGUCGUCGCCAGUUUCUUCUUCCAGUUUUUUCUUCUUCUUUAUAAAAAUUUGAUGUACCGCAAACGUGAAUUGUUUCGAGCGAAUUAUAUAUCUAAAAACUCAAAACAUCGAGAGGAUUUCACAUCUAAAUUUUGGGAUUGUUUAGAGGUGAUCUUGAGUUGAUCGAUAUAGAAUAGUAGGUGUAUACUUCAUGUAUACUCCGUGUAUAUUUCAUGUAUAAUUAAGCUAUAUUCAGUUUUUUGAGUGUAUCAUAAUGUAUAGUUAGUGUAUAACUCAUGUAUAGGUAAAUUAUAUUGUAUAGUCAGUGUAUACUUUCUACAACUUUUGGCAAGCUAUAUUGUACCGUCAAGGUAUAUUUCCUAUGAUUUUUGGCUAUUUUCUAUGUAAAUAAAACAUGGCUAUAUUUGUUGUAAACUAAUUUAUUGUAUAUAUUUGAAACUACCCGAAAACAAAUUUGAGGUUUUGGGAUAGGAAAGUAUCUUGUAAAAAUAUGUUAAUCAAUGAAAAGAGGAGGAAUCAUGUCUAAAACAAGAUAAUUAUUUCCGAAAAAUACUUAUUAUCCAUGCAAAAUUCCAGGCAACAUAGAAUAGAUUUCCCUGCAGACCAUUGGUUCUCCAGCUUACAUCAGAGAUGCGCCAGAGUAUGAAUCGUAAGUAAAUGAAUUCAUGGGGGUUUUAGCAUAUCUUUUCACAUCGACGUAACCUGAGUUGCUUUGAUGAUUAAUAGCUAACUUGGUCUUCUUGGUCAUGCUAUAAAAAACCCAAUUAAAAGAUCGGCUUUAAAUAUGAUCAAACACAGCCUCCACUCUUUUACAGUUCUGUCUCUCCACUAUCUCCUACCAAUUGCAACCUCUCAGAC